UUGAGAGAAGCACAGAUUGACGGGAUGGCUUGUGAAUGUGUGAAUGUGUCCCUUUCCUCGCCCCAUGUUGGUGGGCAAUCGACCGUAGCUCAGUGCGAUCGGCACUAAGGAACAAUGAACUCGAAAGCAAAGGGCCCCUUGGCGUGCGCGCAAGGAGCCCAAUGCGUCGGAGAUUCCUCGGAAUCAAAUGACUCUCGGCAAUGGAUAUCUCGGCUCUUGCAUCGAUGAAGAACGUAGUGAAAUGCGAUACUUGGUGUGAAUUGCAGAAUCUCGUGAACCAUUGAGUCUUUGAACGCAAGUUGUGCCCGAGGCCUCGUGUCGAGGGCACGCCUGCUUGGGGGUCAUGGCAUCGUCGCCUUUGCUCCAUGCGUUGCUGGUGCCGAGUGCGGAAAUUGGCCCCGUGUGCCCUCGGGCACAGUCGGUUAAAGAGCGGGAAGUCGGCAAUCGUCGGGGCACGACGGGUGUUGGUCGCCGUGAGCGGGAACAGAACGUCGUCCUCAUCGUUUUGAGCCGAGUUCUCAAGAGACCCUGUGUGAUUGCGGUGUCGGACGAAAGGGCCGUGUCCAUCAACCU
Molecule: ribosomal RNA, 573 nt
Filed under: Borneocola sp. FRI50295
Lineage: Eukaryota; Viridiplantae; Streptophyta; Magnoliopsida; Zingiberales; Zingiberaceae
Description: eukaryotic LSU rRNA
Rfam family: 5.8S ribosomal RNA (bases 190-344)
Source: RNAcentral